CUUAGCCUUUGGCCGAGGUACUGCCUCUCACGGAGUCUUGGUUUCCUGGCCAUAUCCCUGUCUGCUUCAAGGAUGCAUGUAAAGGAGCUGUACAAACUGUGGAGGGCCAUGGCCCGGAGCCCUGCUGAAGACUUGUUCUGGGCGGCUGUGAUUGUCCCAUGCUGGUGUCUCUUCUGGCCUGGGGACUUGGAAGGCAAGCUUCCUGCUCGCAGAGUUGGGCCCUGGGGACAGAAUCUCAAUAAACACUGUGGAACGAAUGGAAGGAAGAAGCAAACUUUAGCAUGUUCCACCUCACUCCAGCUCACUAUGAUCCUGGUCCUUACUCGGAGCCAGAAAGAACCGAAGCUAAAUGUCAGCUGGAUCACAGCAGGUGAGGAGAUGGGGGGGCGGGUGUCACUGAGAAUUCUGAGAGACUCAGUCUUCGCUCAUUUAGCUCUGUGUGGCUAAGUGUGGCUUUUCCUCCUAAUGCUUAUCCCUGCUGGGCCUCAUGCUCCAUUUCUUUUGUUUGUUUGUUUUUUUAAUUUUUUUUUCAUGUUUUAUUUAUUUUUGAUACAGAGAGAGACAGAGCAUGAGAGGAGGAGGGGCAGAGAGAGAAGGAGACACAGAACCGGAAGCAGGCUCCAGGCUCUGAGCUAGCUGUCAGCACAGAGCCUGACGCAGGGCUCGAACCCACAAACGUGAGAUCAUGACCUGAGCCGAAGUCGGAGGCUUAGCUGACUGAGCCACCCAGGCGCCCCUCAUGCUCCAUUUCUGACCUUCCUUCCAAAGGCAGUAAGGCGACUCUGAAGAGGCUUUGGUGCCCUGCCAUAACCAAGACCCUCAACUCCACCACCCAGCUGGCCCCACGCCUCCACCCAGCUGCCUCCAGCUGGCCUUGUCCAUCCCUGCUGAGCCCCCAUGUGCAGAGAUGGGGGCUUCUCUGUUUUUCAGACUUGAUGCUGUGCUCCCCACAUGGCCUGGGGCUCAUGCACACACCCCCAAGCUAGGUCACUAGGUGAGGGUGAGUCCUGAGACUGGUGGACCUCGUCACGAGUGAUGUAAGUGUAGCUUCUGUGGGCAGGACCCUCCCUCGGUGGACCCUGGCUCAUCUCCAGCAUUCCCAUUCUCAGUCUCUGCAAACAGGGGAUCAGAAGCCUGUCUGAAACCUCAGGGUGGCCUAUGCACUGGAUGUCCCCUUCCUGCUCUUCCACUGUGCAAGUUUGCCCACGAAGAGCUGAGAUGGUGAUGUGGCGGUGGGAGGCGGGGAGUGGUUCCUCCAAACACCACCCUGCCCAGGAGGGAAGGGGUCAAGGAAGUGGUGCUAAGGGGUUGACAAGCAGAGGGACUGAGGCAGCCGGGGUCUUCAUUGCACUGGGGAUGGUCUCCUCGCCUCAAGACCCUGAAUCUUCUCCUCAGAGGUCUUGUCUGGGAGCAGCACCUCCACAGUGUAGCUGAUCUUCUUGGUGUGCAUCAGGCUGUAGGUGUUGUCGAAGCGCAGGACGUCUGCAAAGGUGGAGAAGCCGUCAAGCAAAGUAAACCUGACUCAUCUGCGCAUCUGGUGCCUUUGGGAAUGGGCCCAGGGCUGUGGGUGGUGGAGGGCCAGCCACUACGCAGCCCCCAGCCCACCACUCAAGACCAUCUCGUGCCAACUAAAGGAAUAAUAACCGCAGCAUGCACCAGCCCCUUCCAUGUGCCAGGCAUCACAUCUGUGCUCACAGCUUUCUGAAUCCUCAAA
This 1714-nucleotide long non-coding RNA is filed under the name Suricata suricatta (meerkat). RNAcentral describes it as "lncRNA (ENSSSUG00005010966.1)". The record is from RNAcentral. Lineage: Eukaryota; Metazoa; Chordata; Mammalia; Carnivora; Herpestidae.